This 85-nucleotide transfer RNA is filed under the name Streptomyces melanogenes. Its description in RNAcentral is "tRNA-Ala". Lineage: Bacteria; Bacillati; Actinomycetota; Actinomycetes; Kitasatosporales; Streptomycetaceae. The record is from RNAcentral.
CAGCGUGCUGGGCAGCACGCCGCUGCCGUCCGCGUCGGUGGACGGGCUCUCCGGCCUGGCCGAGAUCCUCGCCCGGCACGCGUCC